CCAGAGGUCUUAGAGUGAGCAGUUUUCAGUUGUUAAUGUUAUUUAACUAUUAAAGGUAGAACUGCUCUAAGACCUUUGGGG
This is a microRNA precursor of Monodelphis domestica (gray short-tailed opossum), 81 nucleotides long. Lineage: Eukaryota; Metazoa; Chordata; Mammalia; Didelphimorphia; Didelphidae. The record is from Ensembl.